Molecule: ribosomal RNA, 207 nt
Filed under: uncultured bacterium
Lineage: Bacteria
Description: partial 16S ribosomal RNA
Rfam family: Bacterial small subunit ribosomal RNA
Source: RNAcentral
UGCGUAGGUGGUCGGGUAAGUCUGAUGUGAAAUCUCCGAGCUUAACUCGGAAACUGCAUCGGAUACUAUUCGGCUGGAGGGUUGGAGGGGGGACUGGAAUACUUGGUGUAGCAGUGAAAUGCGUAGAUAUCAAGUGGAACACCAGUGGCGAAGGCGAGUCCCUGGACAACUCCUGACACUGAGGCACGAAAGCUAGGGGAGCAAACA